CUGAAACUCAUCCAUUUUACUAUGUUAUGAUCAAUACAAAUGAAAAUUUAAACGAUUUGGCACAUUGCCAGGAGCAGGGACACAAAGGCGGGGUUUUUCAUACAUGAAUUUACGUGGUUUUCAUUCGCUUCUAUCUUGCAAGACCCAUUCCGGAUUUGUUUGCAACUUAUAUCGGUUUUAACUAUGGGGUAUGUUUUAUAUCAAAACAAAAUAUUAAGCUUGGCAAAUGACUAUUAUAUGUUAAUUUAUGCCUUGGAAGGAUGGUGAUUUAAGUCCACAAUUGACACAUUUUGAUUUUGAUUUUAAUUAAAUUCUAAACACAAUUGGUACUAAAAUGGCUCAUAAAAUCAUUCGAACAAGUAAAAUCAAUUUGUCUGAAAAAUGAAAUAAGACGUAUUUGUACUGCAAGUCCAAAAAUCAAUAAAUUGUCUGAAACCAGGGAGUCCAUCUUUUAUGCUCUUUCAUUGACUUAUCUCCCUUGGGUAAGAUCUCAAACAUGUCAGCUCCCAGUGAUGGUUUGGCAGACAAAUGUUUACAGUGAAGUUUGUGACUUUAAUAAUCUAGGAUGAGCAUGUGGGCUAUCCCAGCCUUAUACAUCUACAUAUUACAAACUAUUUAAGAUAUCUGAAUGCACUAAAGACCAAAAUAGCAUUUCCAAACAAAAUAAUUACUGCCAAGAAAUUUGACAAUCAUGACAAUAAUUUAGUGAAUAAACAUGAUAAAUAUUGAUUGGAAAAAUAAGACCAUGAACAGCAAAAAGUGUUUUUAGAUUUCAACGAGCAAAACAAAAGUAUUCUAAAUCAUUCUUUGUAAAAAAAAAAGUGAGCGAGUGGAACCACCUUGCUCGCACCAAAAUUGAAAUUGAAAGUGUCAAAACUGCUCUGGCCCACCAUCAAUAAAUCAACGACACUCUCUCUACCGUGGUAUUGAAACCAGCAUUGGUAACCAAACAUAUUCAUACAGAUACAGACUACCAUUCAUCUACAUUUAGGAAGUCUGAAUAAUACUGAAAACUAUGGUGUAGAAUUUCCAACAGGACUCCUUAUUUUAUAUAAGACAAGGAGUGGUUUAUUUUCCCAUGGUUGUUACAUCAUCUUGUCUUUGAAUAUGCUCGAAGUACAGGGACUUUUAUGGAAUUCAUUGACAUGAUAGUCAAGCAAGAUGUCAACAUCUCGUCCAACCCUCUUCCAGCAAAGCCAAAGCUGACCAAGGAUCUUCACCCUUUCAAAACAGGCUGUAUACAGGACGAGUUAUUCCAGUAGGAACAGGGCUAUAUAUAUAUGCAAGCAAUGCUCAAUUAAGAUGAAUUUUUGUAAAAGUGACAAUAGCCAGGUCAAACUAAAUACAUGUAUAGAAGAAGAUAUUGAUCUAGACUUGCAGCUAACCUUUCUGUCAGUGUCAACAACAACUGAACUUUCACAGCACUGAGUCAACAUCAGAUUGGGAGACUGAUAAUGCUUCUAACAGAAACAAUUUAAACCAACCAAACAAGC
Molecule: long non-coding RNA, 1493 nt
Organism: Mytilus californianus (California mussel)
Lineage: Eukaryota; Metazoa; Mollusca; Bivalvia; Mytilida; Mytilidae
Exons: 3
Source: RefSeq, a predicted model, not a curated record